RNAcentral lists this ribosomal RNA (183 nucleotides) under Cyanobacteria bacterium UBA11370. RNAcentral describes it as "partial 23S ribosomal RNA". It matches the Rfam family "Bacterial large subunit ribosomal RNA", at positions 2744 to 2925 of the family's 2925-position model. The record is from RNAcentral. Lineage: Bacteria; Bacillati; Cyanobacteriota.
GGUAGCCAUGUGCGGAGCGGAUAACCGCUGAAAGCAUCUAAGUGGGAAGCCCACCUCAAGAUGAGUGCUCUCACUACUUUAAGUAGGUAAGGUCACAGGCAGAACACCUGUUGAUAGGCGCUAGGUGGAAGCGAAGUAAUUCGUGCAGCCGAGGCGUCCUAACUGACCGAGGGCUUGACCUCA